UACGAAGGGGGCUAGCGUUGUUCGGAUUUACUGGGCGUAAAGCGCACGUAGGCGGACUUUUAAGUCAGGGGUGAAAUCCCGGGGCUCAACCCCGGAACUGCCUUUGAUACUGGAAGUCUUGAGUUCGAGAGAGGUGAGUGGAAUUCCGAGUGUAGAGGUGAAAUUCGUAGAUAUUGGGAAGAACACCGGUGGCGAAGGCGGCUCACUGGCCCGUAACUGACGCUCAGGCGCGAUAGCGUGGGGAUCAAACAGG
RNAcentral lists this ribosomal RNA (253 nucleotides) under uncultured bacterium. RNAcentral's name for it is "partial 16S ribosomal RNA". It matches the Rfam family "Bacterial small subunit ribosomal RNA", at positions 524 to 776 of the family's 1533-position model. The record is from RNAcentral.